Molecule: ribosomal RNA, 508 nt
Filed under: uncultured bacterium
Lineage: Bacteria
Description: partial 16S ribosomal RNA
Rfam family: Bacterial small subunit ribosomal RNA
Source: RNAcentral
GACGAACGCUGGCGGCGUGCCUAAUACAUGCAAGUCGAACGCUUCUUUCCUCCCGAGUGCUUGCACUCAAUUGGAAAGAGGAGUGGCGGACGGGUGAGUAACACGUGGGUAACCUACCCAUCAGAGGGGGAUAACACUUGGAAACAGGUGCUAAUACCGCAUAACAGUUUAUGCCGCAUGGCAUAAGAGUGAAAGGCGCUUUCGGGUGUCGCUGAUGGAUGGACCCGCGGUGCAUUAGCUAGUUGGUGAGGUAACGGCUCACCAAGGCCACGAUGCAUAGCCGACCUGAGAGGGUGAUCGGCCACACUGGGACUGAGACACGGCCCAGACUCCUACGGGAGGCAGCAGUAGGGAAUCUUCGGCAAUGGACGAAAGUCUGACCGAGCAACGCCGCGUGAGUGAAGAAGGUUUUCGGAUCGUAAAACUCUGUUGUUAGAGAAGAACGAGGACGUUAGUAACUGAACGUCCCCUGACGGUAUCUAACCAGAAAGCCACGGCUAACUACGUG